Molecule: ribosomal RNA, 253 nt
Filed under: uncultured bacterium
Lineage: Bacteria
Description: partial 16S ribosomal RNA
Rfam family: Bacterial small subunit ribosomal RNA
Source: RNAcentral
UACGUAGGGGGCAAGCGUUGUCCGGAAUCAUUGGGCGUAAAGCGCGUGUAGGCGGCCAGAUAAGUCCGUUCUGAAAGCCCGGGGCUCAACCCCGGGAGGCGGAUGGAUACUGUUUGGCUCGAGUCCGGAAGAGGCGAGUGGAAUUCCUGGUGUAGCGGUGAAAUGCGUAGAUAUCAGGAGGAACACCGGUGGUGUAGACGGCUCUCUGGACCGUAACUGACGCUGAGACACGAAAGCGUGGGUAGCAAACAGG